This 477-nucleotide ribosomal RNA is filed under the name uncultured bacterium. RNAcentral describes it as "SSU rRNA". It matches the Rfam family "Bacterial small subunit ribosomal RNA", at positions 26 to 518 of the family's 1533-position model. The record is from RNAcentral.
AGGACGAACGCUGGCGGCGUGCUUAACACAUGCAAGUCGAGCGGAAAGGCCCUUCGGGGUACUCGAGCGGCGAACGGGUGAGUAACACGUGAGUAAUCUGCCCCUAGCUCUGGGAUAGCUCCGGGAAACCGGGAUUAAUACCGGAUACGACCACUUUAGACAUCUGUUGUGGUGGAAAGAAUUUUGGCUAGGGAUGAGCUCGCGGCCUAUCAGCUUGUUGGUGGGGUAACGGCCUACCAAGGCGACGACGGGUAGCCGGCCUGAGAGGGCGACCGGCCACACUGGGACUGAGACACGGCCCAGACUCCUACGGGAGGCAGCAGUGGGGAAUAUUGCGCAAUGGGCGAAAGCCUGACGCAGCGACGCCGCGUGGGGGAUGAAGGCCUUCGGGUUGUAAACCCCUUUCAGCAGGGACGAAGCGAAAGUGACGGUACCUGCAGAAGAAGCGCCGGCUAACUACGUCGCCGAGCAGGCCGC